Non-coding RNA from Heterocephalus glaber (naked mole-rat), 987 nucleotides. Lineage: Eukaryota; Metazoa; Chordata; Mammalia; Rodentia; Bathyergidae. The record is from RefSeq and is a predicted model, not a curated record.
CCAGUCAGUGGCUGUAUUGAGUUUAAGGUUGGAUCCGAUUACUAGUGUCUUCUAAAAAUGAUGCACUCACUGACGCUCUUGCCGUGGGCAAGGUGGCCUGGCCUGUUCCCGUAGCCACCAGACCUCUGUGUGCCUCGAUCAGGCCCUGGGCACAGACCUGACAGCCAAGAGCCUGUCUCCACUGACUCGCAAAGAUGCCUGGUUCCAGCUAGCGCCUGUGUAACAGCCAUCCCCGACUCUGGCGUGAAGCACCAGCCACUCUGUUCUGCCUGCAGCCUGCGAUUAUGGGAUUUAGAGCCCCUGCUGCGGUGACGGAAAUGACAGGCAAACUUCAGUAGCUGGGCAGGUCACCUGGAGCAGGAGUUGGUGACCUUUGAGCUGCCUGUUCUCCUAAAUAACACCCUCUCCAUCACCUGCUCCCGUGUCACCUGCAUAGCCUCAACUGCUGUUUCCUACUUGGCCCUGUACGGUAUCCUAGGCCCUGGUCUCCUGUCUCUUGGGCUCGUGUGUCUGGGCCAUGGGCAGGGUGACUGAGGGCUGGGCUGGCCCAGAGCUCCCACAGCCCCCUGGGCGCUGGGCCUCCUAAGGCCUGGCUGCUGUUUUCCAGGGGGAGUGUCUGGGAGCCACUGUUGGGAGAGCCAGGUGGAUGCCACGGGGCCCCGUCUGGCCCAACUUGGGGGUCCCACAGCGACACGGAGCCUAAACUCCCUUGGUGGGACCCUCUCCAGGAUCUCCCAGGUCUCACCUGUUGGCAGGUGGUUGUUAAAGCAUUUGUGACCAUUCUUUAAAUCCCUAUGUCCAUCCCAGACAGGUGGGUGACCCUGCCUCCCUCCUGAGUUUGCUGUCUUGGUGAUAGAGUCCCCUUCAGGCCGAGACCUUGACCCUGCUCCUCCCUCCGAUCCAGCAUUGUCCAAUCCAUGCUCUCUUUCAUUUAAAGAAGUUUAUUGUUUGGAAAUAAUUCAAAUAAAUGAACUCACAUACCCUGGA